AUGGCUCAGAACGAACGGCUGGCGGCGAUGGAUUAGGCAUGCAAGUCGAACGGGAGCAGCAAUGCUCCAGUGGCGCAAGGGUGAGGAACACGUGAACAACCUGCCUUCGAGUUGGGGAUAGCUUCUGGAAACGGGAGAUAAUACCGAAUAACAUCACCGGAUCGCAUGAUCGGGUGAUCAAAGCAGCAAUGCGCUUGAAGAGGGGUUCGCGUCCCAUUAGCUAGUUGGUGAGGUAACGGCCCACCAAGGCGAUGAUGGGUAGCUGGUCUGAGAGGACGAUCAGCCACAUUGGGACUGAGAUACUGCCCAGACUCCUACGGGAGGCUGCAGUCGAGAAUUUUGGGCAAUGGACGAAAGUCUGACCCAGCCAAUGCCGCGUGCGGGAUGAAGGUCUUCGGAUUGUAAACCGCUGUCAAGAGGGACGAAACAUGACGGUACCUCUGGAGGAAGCCACGGCUAACUACGUGCCAGCAGCGGC
This 478-nucleotide ribosomal RNA is filed under the name uncultured bacterium. Its description in RNAcentral is "bacterial SSU rRNA". It matches the Rfam family "Bacterial small subunit ribosomal RNA", at positions 19 to 518 of the family's 1533-position model. The record is from RNAcentral.